GACGAACGCUGGCGGCGUGCCUAACACAUGCAAGUCGAACGGACAGGCCCUGCUUUUGCGCGGUGCUCGAGUGCCGCACACGUGAGUAACACGUGAGUAACCUCUCCCUGACUUUGGGAUAACUUCAGGAAACACGGGCUAAUACCGCAUAGGAGCUCUUGCUGCAUGGUGUGGGUUGGUAAGUUUCGGCGGUUGGGUAUGGAAUCGCGGCUUAACAGCUUGUUGGGGUGGUAGUGGCUUACCAAGGAUUUCACGGAUAGCCCGCCUCAGAGGCUGACCGGCGGCAUAGGGACUGAGAUACGGCCGAGGUUCCUAAGGGAGGCAGCUGUGGGGAAGAUUGACCGAUAAGCGGAAGGCGGGUGCAGCAACGCUGCGUGUCGGAAGACGGCGUUCGGGGGGUAAACCGCUGUCGCAUGUGACGAAGCGUGAGUGACGGUAAUGGGUAAAGAAGCACCGGCUAACUACGUG
RNAcentral lists this ribosomal RNA (468 nucleotides) under uncultured bacterium. Its description in RNAcentral is "partial 16S ribosomal RNA". It matches the Rfam family "Bacterial small subunit ribosomal RNA", at positions 28 to 507 of the family's 1533-position model. The record is from RNAcentral.